RNAcentral lists this ribosomal RNA (462 nucleotides) under Paenibacillus pabuli. RNAcentral's name for it is "bacterial SSU rRNA". It matches the Rfam family "Bacterial small subunit ribosomal RNA", at positions 343 to 796 of the family's 1533-position model. The record is from RNAcentral. Lineage: Bacteria; Bacillati; Bacillota; Bacilli; Caryophanales; Paenibacillaceae.
GGGGUGGUGCAGUAGGGAAUCUUCCGCAAUGGGCGAAAGCCUGACGGAGCAAUGCCGCGUGAGUGAUGAAGGUUUUCGGAUCGUAAAGCUCUGUUGCCAGGGAAGAACGCUUGGGAGAGUAACUGCUCUCAAGGUGACGGUACCUGAGAAGAAAGCCCCGGCUAACUACGUGCCAGCAGCCGCGGUAAUACGUAGGGGGCAAGCGUUGUCCGGAAUUAUUGGGCGUAAAGCGCGCGCAGGCGGUCAUUUAAGUCUGGUGUUUAAUCCCGGGGCUCAACCCCGGAUCGCACUGGAAACUGGGUGACUUGAGUGCAGAAGAGGAGAGUGGAAUUCCACGUGUAGCGGUGAAAUGCGUAGAUAUGUGGAGGAACACCAGUGGCGAAGGCGACUCUCUGGGCUGUAACUGACGCUGAGGCGCGAAAGCGUGGGGAGCAAACAGGAUUAGAUACCCCCUGGUAAUCA